Molecule: transfer RNA, 68 nt
Filed under: Hyalopeplus sp.
Lineage: Eukaryota; Metazoa; Arthropoda; Insecta; Hemiptera; Miridae
Description: tRNA-Val
Source: RNAcentral
CAAAUUAACCUUUAAAAGGAAUUAUUAUUUACAUUAAUAAUUUGAUUGUGAAAUUCAUUCUAAUUUGA